RNAcentral lists this ribosomal RNA (565 nucleotides) under uncultured bacterium. RNAcentral describes it as "partial 16S ribosomal RNA". It matches the Rfam family "Bacterial small subunit ribosomal RNA", at positions 355 to 935 of the family's 1533-position model. The record is from RNAcentral.
UGGGGAAUAUUGCACAAUGGGCGAAAGCCUGAUGCAGCGACGCCGCGUGAGGGAUGACGGCCUUCGGGUUGUAAACCUCUUUCAGCAGGGAAGAAGCGAAAGUGACGGUACCUGCAGAAGAAGCGCCGGCUAACUACGUGCCAGCAGCCGCGGUAAUACGUAGGGCGCAAGCGUUGUCCGGAAUUAUUGGGCGUAAAGAGCUCGUAGGCGGUUAGUCGCGUCUGCUGUGAAAACUCGAGGCUCAACCUCGGGCUUGCAGUGGGUACGGGCUGACUAGAGUGCGGUAGGGGUGACUGGAAUUCCUGGUGUAGCGGUGGAAUGCGCAGAUAUCAGGAGGAACACCGAUGGCGAAGGCAGGUCACUGGGCCGCAACUGACGCUGAGGAGCGAAAGCAUGGGGAGCGAACAGGAUUAGAUACCCUGGUAGUCCAUGCCGUAAACGUUGGGCACUAGGUGUGGGGUCCAUUCCACGGAUUCCGUGCCGCAGCAAACGCAUUAAGUGCCCCGCCUGGGGAGUACGGCCGCAAGGCUAAAACUCAAAGGAAUUGACGGGGUCAUAGCUGUUU